Molecule: ribosomal RNA, 276 nt
Filed under: uncultured Pelotomaculum sp.
Lineage: Bacteria; Bacillati; Bacillota; Clostridia; Eubacteriales; Desulfotomaculaceae
Description: partial 16S ribosomal RNA
Rfam family: Bacterial small subunit ribosomal RNA
Source: RNAcentral
UACGUUAGUUGCUAACAGGUGAAGCUGAGCACUCGUAGACGAACUGCCGUUGACAAACGGAGGAAGUGGGGAUGACGUCAAAUCAUCAUGCCCCUUAUGUUCUGGGCUACACACGUGCUACAAUGGCCGGGUACAGACGGAGGCGAAGCCGCGAGGCGGAGCAAAUCCGAAAAAUCCGGCCUCAGUUCGGAUUGCAGUCUGCAACUCGACUGCAUGAAGUCGGAAUCGCUAGUAAUCGCGAAUCAGCAGGUCGCGGUGAAUACGUUCCCGGGCCUU